Molecule: ribosomal RNA, 460 nt
Filed under: uncultured bacterium
Lineage: Bacteria
Description: partial 16S ribosomal RNA
Rfam family: Bacterial small subunit ribosomal RNA
Source: RNAcentral
CCUACGGGAGGCAGCAGUGAGGAAUAUUGGUCAAUGGACGAGAGUCUGAACCAGCCAAGUAGCGUGAAGGAUGACUGCCCUAUGGGUUGUAAACUUCUUUUAUAUGGGAAUAAAAUGUUCCACGUGUGGGAUUUUGUAUGUACCAUAUGAAUAAAGAUCGGCUAACUACGUGCCAGCAGCCGCGGUAAUACGGAGGAUCCGAGCGUUAUCCGGAUUUAUUGGGUUUAAAGGGAGCGUAGGUGGAUUGUUAAGUCAGUUGUGAAAGUUUGCGGCUCAACCGUGAAAGUGCAGUUGAAACUGGCAGUCUUGAGUACAGUAGAGGUGGGCGGAAUUCGUGGUGUAGCGGUGAAAUGCUUAGAUAUCACGAAGAACUCCGAUUGCGAAGGCAGUUCACUGGACUGCAACUGACGCUGAGGCUCGAAAGUGUGGGUAUCAAACAGGAUUAGAUACCCCUGUAGUC